This 217-nucleotide ribosomal RNA is filed under the name uncultured bacterium. Its description in RNAcentral is "partial 16S ribosomal RNA". It matches the Rfam family "Bacterial small subunit ribosomal RNA", at positions 328 to 539 of the family's 1533-position model. The record is from RNAcentral.
ACGCUCGACACCUACGGGAGCAGCAGUGAGGAAUAUUGGUCAAUGGGCGCAGGCCUGAACCAGCCAAGUAGCGUGAAGGAUGACUGCCCUAUGGGUUGUAAACUUCUUUUAUAUGGGAAUAAAGUUUUCCACGUGUGGAAUUUUGUAUGUACCAUAUGAAUAAGGAUCGGCUAACUCCGUACCAGCAGCCGCGGUAAUCUGAGCGGGCUGGCAAGGC